Bombyx mori (domestic silkworm) is the source of this 930-nucleotide long non-coding RNA. RefSeq lists it as uncharacterized. The record is from RefSeq and is a predicted model, not a curated record. NCBI's taxonomy places the organism in Eukaryota, Metazoa, Arthropoda, Insecta, Lepidoptera, Bombycidae. The transcript is spliced from 2 exons.
AUGAAAACGAAAUGAAAUGAGAUGAGAUGAUAUGGGAUGAAAUAUAAUCUCAGUAAAAUGGUGGUCAUUUACUGACAUUUUUUCAGUGGACUUUUCGGAGGAUCCCGAGAAGUUACGUUCAGCGGGUAGUCGUAAUAAAAUCAACUCUGAUGCCGAGAGAAAUGGGAUCACCUCAAGCAAUUCUCAGAAGUCUCCCACAAAUCACAGUGUACAAAAAACACCAAGAGAACGGAACUCCAUCCGGAAUCAUGAAUUUGUUAUUUAUUAUAAUUUAGGAUCAUGUUUGUUAUUCUUAACCCAUAUAGGAUAUUGUAAUUUACCCAGUCUAUAAUUCACUACACUACGGAUUUUUUUGAUCAUGAAUUUUUAUUUUUGUUGCAAAGGUUCGUUCCUGUAAUUUUUCAACGCGUUGAGAUGUUUUUCUAGAAAGCCACUCAUUUGCACAUCACUUUGUAAGCAUUCUUUGAGUACGAUUUAUGAAUAUUAUGUAAUCUUCUUCUUCGUCGCUUCUUCAUUACUGAGCCGUGACCACCUUGGUCUAGUUUCUGCACCAGCUUCCUCCAACGUUGCCUCCAUUCGGCCUGCUUAAGCUGGUUGGGACGCUGGUGUUUGUGGCCUCCCUGACAAUGUCCGUCCACCUGGUUGGCGAUCUUCCUCGACUUCUCUUUCCUUUCACGUGACCUACAACUAUUAGUUUUUCCAAGUUGUCAGGAUUUCGUCGGGCCGCGUGUCCGAAGUACUUGAGGAGACGCUGCAUACAGAUUGUAGAUAGACGGGUCUUGACGUUUAAUAUUUAAUUAAGUAAUAUGUAAUAGGUAUUUCCUAUGAAGUUGCCGUUUCGAAAUACAAGCUCAUUGAAACGUAAAUUAUAUACACAAAUUCAAUCUGGCAAUAAGUCUUGAAUUCAAAUAAACAUUAUUUAAAAAAAUA